This 497-nucleotide ribosomal RNA is filed under the name uncultured bacterium. RNAcentral describes it as "partial 16S ribosomal RNA". It matches the Rfam family "Bacterial small subunit ribosomal RNA", at positions 28 to 507 of the family's 1533-position model. The record is from RNAcentral.
GAUGAACGCUGGCGGCGUGCCUAAUACAUGCAAGUCGAGCGAACGGACGAGAAGCUUGCUUCUCUGAUGUUAGCGGCGGACGGGUGAGUAACACGUGGAUAACCUACCUAUAAGACUGGGAUAACUUCGGGAAACCGGAGCUAAUACCGGAUGAUAUUUUGAACCGCAUGGUUCAAAAGUGAAAGACGGUCUUGCUGUCACUUAUAGAUGGAUCCGCGCUGCAUUAGCUAGUUGGUAAGGUAACGGCUUACCAAGGCAACGAUGCAUAGCCGACCUGAGAGGGAGAUCGGCCACACUGGAACUGAUACACGGUCCAGACUCCUACGGGAGGAAGCAGUAGGGAAUCUUCCGCAAUGGGCGAAAGCCUGACGGAGCAACGCCGCGUGAGUGAUGAAGGUCUUAGGAUCGUAAAACUCUGUUAUUAGGGAAGAACAUAUGUGUAAGUAACUGUGAACAUAUUGACGGUACCUAAUCAGAAAGCCACGGCUAACUACGUG